AUUGUAAGUGCUGGCUUGCAUUAAACAGCUUUACCCCUUCAUGAAGUCUUUGCUCAUGUUUGGGGGAUUGGGGAACUACACUCUGGGGAUUGCUAUAAUCACUAUACUCCCCUGAGUAUAAUCACUAGCUCUUCUAAGAGCUGCUCCUGCUAUGCUCUCUGGAGGAGGAGAGGUCUACCCACUGGGAGCUGGAUCCUGGUCUUGGAUCCAGGGUGGGUGGAGGACGGCGAGACCCCAACUAAGCUGCGGCGGUUCGUGGGGUCUACAGUGCUUAUGGUGUCUGGAGUUAUGGAGUGCUUGG
This is a non-coding RNA of Pelobates cultripes (western spadefoot toad), 301 nucleotides long. The record is from the annotation of a GenBank genome assembly. NCBI's taxonomy places the organism in Eukaryota, Metazoa, Chordata, Amphibia, Anura, Pelobatidae.